UUAAAAAUGUAUUAGUAAGAAACGACAGAGCAGCAUCUAGCUGUGCAGGGUUCUUAAUCUGAAGCGACAUAGCAAGGAAUACUUCAGAUCAACAACAUAAGGAGAAACAAGCACUGAAACAUAACUCACCCUUCGCUUGAGCUCCUAGAACAGAACAGAUAAUGCAAAAUGUGUGUUAAAAGUGGACUGAAAUAUCAAUAGGCGGCAAAUAUAUACCUUCAUCGAAAUGAUAUAGCUAAUGAGAUAAGGACGAUGGACGAGUGCAUUUGUUGGGUAUUUCGUGGAAACCUGUUUCAUUCAUGAAUAAGUGCCAACAUGAGCCACACGCAUAAAACAAAAAUCUCAAAUGUAGCAGGGGAAAUUGGUACAGGUGCGUAUUGUACAUAGAAGAUUCACGAACAAGCAUGGGAGCCACUUAUUAUAUUUGUUGAUUGCGCUAGCAAGGAGAUCAGUUCCAAAUUCCAACCUCUAUUACCUGCUAUUCCUAACAGAAUAUCUCAUGAAAACUCAAAAGAAUGCUGAACCAAACAGAAAUUUACAAUGUUGUAAUUAGCUGCUCAAAGAGACUAUCUGCCUAAUACAAACUUUGAUGGAUGGCAACAUUGGAUCAAUCUACGUGUUCUAUGGUAACAUACCUGUACUUGCUCACUGUCUUUUAAGCUUAUUGGGUAAAAUUCUAGCCAUCCUACUACACAUUCGAUAUGGAUGAGUCAAUGAUAUAAACAUUGUGGUCCACUGGCUGAACAUAAGAACUCGGUAACCAUCAUUUGCUAAAGAAGGUAGAAGUUCUGCUAAGGCCUUAAAAAAGCCGAAAGUAAGGUAAAUCAUAAAUUGUACUUCAGUCAUAAUAUGCCUCGAUAGAAGACAUUUUAGUAAGCAAAAAACAGUUUACUUGCUUUAUUGUUGUUCUUCUUUUGAUAGAUGAGAGAACUUGCUAAUCAGAUAAAGGAAAAAAGGAAAGAAAAAAACACUACACCUGACAUUUCGCUGAUGCAAGAACAUGAUCAUCUUUUAGGGCACCCUUUGCACCAGUAUCACCAUAUGUAAUCAACAGCCGCAUGACAAACUAAAAAACAGAACAGAAACACAUGGUCACAACGAAAUGCCAAUUUAUUUCAUUUGAAACUAAACUACAAUGAUGCUAUGAUAAACUGAAAGGGGACGUCAAAGGGCGAAUUCAAAAUAUUUUCUCA
This 1193-nucleotide long non-coding RNA is filed under the name Triticum aestivum (bread wheat). RNAcentral's name for it is "long non-coding RNA (TAES_LNC008721)". The record is from RNAcentral. Lineage: Eukaryota; Viridiplantae; Streptophyta; Magnoliopsida; Poales; Poaceae.